This 394-nucleotide ribosomal RNA is filed under the name uncultured bacterium. RNAcentral's name for it is "bacterial SSU rRNA". It matches the Rfam family "Bacterial small subunit ribosomal RNA", at positions 505 to 898 of the family's 1533-position model. The record is from RNAcentral.
GUGUCAGCAGCCGCGGUAAGACGAACCGUGCGAACGUUAUUCGGAAUCACUGGGCUUAAAGGGCGCGUAGGCGGGCGGACAAGUCAGGGGUGAAAUCGUUCGGCCCAACCGGACAAGGGCCCCUGAUACUGGCCGUCUCGAGGGAGGUAGGGGUCGAUGGAACUUCCGGUGGAGCGGUGAAAUGCGUAGAUAUCGGAAGGAGCGCCGGUGGCGAAAGCGAUCGACUGGACCUCUUCUGACGCUGAGGCGCGAAAGCCAGGGGAGCAAACGGGAUUAGAUACCCCGGUAGUCCUGGCCCUAAACGAUGGGCACCAGAUUGUGGACUUGACAUGGGUUCACAGUCGAGGCAAAAGUGUUAAGUGCCCCGCCUGGGGAGUAUGGUCGCAAGGCUGAA